CAGCCGCCGCGGUAAUACGUAGGGUGCGAGCGUUAAUCGGAUUUACUGGGCGUAAAGCGUGCGCAGGCGGCCCGUUAAGACAGGUGUGAAAUCCCUGGGCUCAACCUAGGAAUUGCGCUUGUGACUGGCGGGCUCGAGUACGGUAGAGGGGGGUGGAAUUCCUGGUGUAGCAGUGAAAUGCGUAGACAUCCGGAGGAACACCGAUGGCGAAGGCAGCCCCCUGGGCCUGUACUGACGCUCAUGCACGAAAGCGUGGGGAGCAAACAGGAUUAGAUACCCUGGUAGUCCACGCCCGAAACGAUGGGUACUAGCCGUUUGGUGCGCGAUAGCGCUGAGUGGCGAAGCUAACGCGUGAAGUACCCCGCCUGGGGAGUACGGCCGCAAGGUUGAAACUUAAAGGAAAUGGCGGG
This 410-nucleotide ribosomal RNA is filed under the name uncultured microorganism. Its description in RNAcentral is "bacterial SSU rRNA". It matches the Rfam family "Bacterial small subunit ribosomal RNA", at positions 509 to 917 of the family's 1533-position model. The record is from RNAcentral.